UACGAAGGGGGCUAGCGUUGUUCGGAAUUACUGGGCGUAAAGCGCACGUAGGCGGAAUGUUAAGUCAGGGGUGAAAUCCCGGGGCUCAACCCCGGAACUGCCUUUGAUACUGGCAUUCUCGAGUCCGGAAGAGGUGAGUGGAAUUCCGAGUGUAGAGGUGAAAUGCGCAGAUAUCAGGAGGAACACCGGUGGCGAAGGCGGGUCUCUGGGCCGAUACUGACGCUGAGGAGCGAAAGCGUGGGGAGCGAUCCGG
Molecule: ribosomal RNA, 253 nt
Filed under: uncultured bacterium
Lineage: Bacteria
Description: partial 16S ribosomal RNA
Rfam family: Bacterial small subunit ribosomal RNA
Source: RNAcentral